UACGGAGGGCGCAAGCGUUGUUCGGAAUCAUUGGGCGUAAAGCGCGUGCAGGCGGCUUGGUAAGUCGGGUGUGAAAUCCCGGGGCUCAACCCCGGAACUGCACCCGAUACUGCCUCGCUAGAGUCCCGGAGAGGAUGGCGGAAUUUCCGGUGUAGAGGUGAAAUUCGUAGAUAUCGGAAGGAACACCAGCGGCGAAGGCGGCCAUCUGGACGGUGACUGACGCUCAGACGCGAAAGCGUGGGGAGCAAACAGG
This 253-nucleotide ribosomal RNA is filed under the name uncultured bacterium. RNAcentral's name for it is "partial 16S ribosomal RNA". It matches the Rfam family "Bacterial small subunit ribosomal RNA", at positions 524 to 776 of the family's 1533-position model. The record is from RNAcentral.